AGGAGAGUUUGAUCCUGGCUCAGGAUGAACGCUGGCGGCGUGCCUAACACAUUCAAGUCGAACGGACUGAUUUGGUAGUAAUACUGAUGAAAGUUAGUGGCGGACGGGUGAGUAACGCGUGAGCAACUUGCCCGCAUCAGGGGCAUAAUCGGUGGAAACGCCGUCUAACUCCCCAUAACAUAGAGGGUGGCAUCUCCUUCUAUUGAAAUCCUUGGAGGAUGCGGAUGGGCUCGCGUGACAUUAGGCAGUUGGCGGGGUAACGGCCCACCAAACCGACGAUGUCUAGGGGAACUGAGAGGUUAAUCCCCCACACUGGAACUGAGACACGGUCCAGACUCCUACGGGAGGCAGCAGUGAGGAAUAUUGGACAAUGGAGGGAACUCUGAUCCAGCCAUGCCGCGUGCAGGAUAAGGUCCUAUGGAUUGUAAACUGCUUUUGUAUGAGAGCAAUAAGGAUUACGUGUAAUCCGAUGAGAGUAUCAUACGAAUAAGCAUCGGCUAACUCCGUGCCAGCAGCCGCGGUAAUACGGAGGAUGCGAGCGUUAUCCGGAUUUAUUGGGUUUAAAGGGUGCGUAGGCGGCCAUGUAAGUCAGCGGUGAAAUUCAGAUGCUCAACAUCUGCCGUGCCGUUGAAACUGCGUGGCUAGAAUGCGGAUGCCGUGGGAGGAAUGUGUGGUGUAGCGGUGAAAUGCAUAGAUAUCACACAGAACACCGAUUGCGAAGGCAUCUCACGAAUCCGCGAUUGACGCUGAGGCACGAAAGUGCGGGGAUCAAACAGGAUUAGAUACCCUGGUAGUCCCCU
RNAcentral lists this ribosomal RNA (800 nucleotides) under uncultured Bacteroidota bacterium. RNAcentral describes it as "bacterial SSU rRNA". It matches the Rfam family "Bacterial small subunit ribosomal RNA", at positions 1 to 799 of the family's 1533-position model. Lineage: Bacteria; Pseudomonadati; Bacteroidota. The record is from RNAcentral.